This 1515-nucleotide long non-coding RNA is filed under the name Anas platyrhynchos platyrhynchos (common mallard). RNAcentral describes it as "lncRNA (ENSAPLG00000020844.1)". Lineage: Eukaryota; Metazoa; Chordata; Aves; Anseriformes; Anatidae. The record is from RNAcentral.
CACGAAGUCAGGGGUCCCCUCUCCUGCUGGCGGUGGUGGCACCCACACUGGCCUCAGGGCUCUGCUCACUGUGAAGAACCCGCUUCCUCCUCCCCCUGGGCUGCCCUGGAUGUGUAGGAACUGUUUACAAACUGCCCCAGCUUUGCAAAGGAUGCGUCUUGAGCCAGCCAUCAGCCGCUGUGUCCCACUGGGGGGCUCGGAGUGUUUCAUGCAGAGCUGAAGCAGGUUUUGCCCUUCGGUUCACCAGAGAAGUUGGUGAAGGGCAGCAUCCCCUGCCCCGAGCUGCAGGAGAUUUUGGGAUCCCGCAAAGUCCCUCCGAGCCCUCUUCACAGGAACACAGUGGCGAUGCUUCUGCAGAGCGCUCCCGCCGUCGGCUCUGUCAGGCAGGAGCUUUGUAGCAUUAAAAACCCCGAAUAUCUAUUUUUUAACUCCAUUCCAGUGCAUAGAGGUGUAAGUGCAGUUGGGAGAAUGGCGUGCCACUUCUGGUUUUCAUAUGGUGCUGUUGUGAGUGUGUCUAAUAAAUUAACACUAUUUUCUUGACCACUUUGCCUAGGCUGGCUGGUAUGAGUGGGCUGCUGGGACGGGGUGGUGGUGUGGAGAGCAUCGAGCGGAGCAGGUGAGAGGGGUUUGGGGUCACUUGGUUGUCCAUCAGGACAGGAAGAUGCUGUGGGCACUUUGUCCCUCAUGCCUGAAAGCAGAGAGCCCGGGGACAGCACCGCUGGGAUUUUGGAACAGGCAGCAACCCAAACCAAGCAGUGGCGCAGCAGCUGUGAAUAACCCCCAGCCUGUUUCCAGCUGGAAUUUCCUAGAAAAAAAAAAAAAAAAAGAGAGAGAAAAAGAAAAACAUAAUUGCUGGAAAAAAGCAGAUGUCCUCGCCAAGACGGCUCUCCGUGCAAAAGCGCUCAUCGGGCAGCGUGUCUUCCUGCAGCGGAGGCGCGUGGAAGUCAAAAGGAGCCGGCAGAUGGAGGUGCCGCGUCUGGAGAGGGAAUCGCCGAGCUCCGCAGGGGCAAGCGCAGCAAAACCCCAAAUGCGGGGGCAGCGCCCCAAUUUCUUGGGGUUGCCCCAAUUUUUCAGGGAGCAGCUGCUGCAGACCAGCACCCACACCACGGACCCCCUCCCACGGCCCAAAACUCGUGGUGUCAGCUCUGCACAAAGUCCUCCUCCCGCCUCUCUCCUGCAAUCAGGUCAAAAUCCAGCCGGAUUUAAAAAAAAUAAAAAAAUACCAAAGUUUCGCACAGCCCAUUGCAUCAAUGCGUGCUCAUUGAUUUAUUUUUUUUUGGUUGUUAUUCUUAUUAUCUCCCCCGGCAGGCAGCAUCUGUCUGGGCGAGGAGGAGGAAGGGGCCGGAUCAGGUGUCGCAUUAGGACCCAGUGGAGCCCCCAUGUUGGAGGUAGGAGCUUUUUCUCUCAUUUCGGAGUUUUUGAGCCCAGAGAGAAGAGACCAAGGCGUUGGGCAAGGGCGAAGGCAGCUCAUAGCAUCCGAAGCGGUAAGGCGUGAGCGGAGUCCCCGGCACUGGG